CCAGACUCCUACGGGAGGCAGCAGUGGGGAAUAUUGCACAAUGGGGGAAACCCUGAUGCAGCAACGCCGCGUGAGUGAAGAAGUCAUUCGUGAUGUAAAGCUCUAUCAGCAGGGAAGAAAAUGACGGUACCUGAGUAAGAAGCCCCGGCUAACUACGUGCCAGCAGCCGCGGUAAUACGUAGGGGGCAAGCGUUAUCCGGAUUUACUGGGUGUAAAGGGAGCGUAGACGGCUGGCCAAGUCUGAAGUGAAAGCCCGGGGCUUAACCCCGGAACGGCUUUGGAAACUGGCCGGCUGGAGUGCUGGAGAGGCAGGCGGAAUUCCUGGUGUAGCGGUGAAAUGCGUAGAUAUCAGGAGGAACACCGGUGGCGAAGGCGGCCUGCUGGACAGUAACUGACGUUGAGGCUCGAAAGCGUGGGGAGCAAACAGGAUUAGAUACCCCAGUAAC
This 446-nucleotide ribosomal RNA is filed under the name uncultured bacterium. Its description in RNAcentral is "bacterial SSU rRNA". It matches the Rfam family "Bacterial small subunit ribosomal RNA", at positions 331 to 794 of the family's 1533-position model. The record is from RNAcentral.